UCCUGCCUUGAUGGUAAAGGACUGAACCUC
This 30-nucleotide non-coding RNA is filed under the name Mus musculus (house mouse). The record is from RNAcentral. Lineage: Eukaryota; Metazoa; Chordata; Mammalia; Rodentia; Muridae.